AAAGAAAGAUGGAGGCAUGCCUAACACAUGCAAGUCGAACGAGACCUUCGGGUCUAGUGGCGCACGGGUGCGUAACGCGUGGGAACCUGCCCUUAGGUUCGGAAUAACUCCCCGAAAGGGGUGCUAAUACCGGAUAAUGUCUUCGGACCAAAGAUUUAUCGCCUUUGGAUGGGCCCGCGUUGGAUUAGCUAGUUGGUAGGGUAAAAGCCUACCAAGGCGACGAUCCAUAGCUGGUCUGAGAGGAUGAUCAGCCACACUGGGACUGAGACACGGCCCAGACUCCUACGGGAGGCAGCAGUGGGGAAUAUUGGACAAUGGGCGAAAGCCUGAUCCAGCAAUGCCGCGUGAGUGAUGAAGGCCUUAGGGUUGUAAAGCUCUUUUACCCGGGAUGAUAAUGACAGUACCGGGAGAAUAAGCUCCGGCUAACUCCGUG
This 433-nucleotide ribosomal RNA is filed under the name uncultured bacterium. Its description in RNAcentral is "partial 16S ribosomal RNA". It matches the Rfam family "Bacterial small subunit ribosomal RNA", at positions 31 to 507 of the family's 1533-position model. The record is from RNAcentral.